This 634-nucleotide ribosomal RNA is filed under the name uncultured eubacterium WD230. RNAcentral's name for it is "bacterial SSU rRNA". It matches the Rfam family "Bacterial small subunit ribosomal RNA", at positions 9 to 636 of the family's 1533-position model. The record is from RNAcentral.
GAGUUUGAUCCUGGUUCAGAUUGAACGCUGGCGGCAUGCCUUACACAUGCAAGUCGAACGGCAGCACGGGGGCAACCCUGGUGGCGAGUGGCGAACGGGUGAGUAAUACAUCGGAACGUGUCCUGUAGUGGGGGAUAGCCCGGCGAAAGCCGGAUUAAUACCGCAUACGAUCUGCGGAUGAAAGCGGGGGCUCCUUCGGGACCUCGCGCUACAGGGGCGGCCGAUGGCAGAUUAGCUAGUUGGUGGGGUAAAGGCCUACCAAGGCGACGAUCUGUAGCUGGUCUGAGAGGACGACCAGCCACACUGGGACUGAGACACGGCCCAGACUCCUACGGGAGGCAGCAGUGGGGAAUUUUGGACAAUGGGCGAAAGCCUGAUCCAGCAAUGCCGCGUGUGUGAAGAAGGCCUUCGGGUUGUAAAGCACUUUUGUCCGGAAAGAAAACCUCGUGGUUAAUACCCGUGGGGGAUGACGGUACCGGAAGAAUAAGCACCGGCUAACUACGUGCCAGCAGCCGCGGUAAUACGUAGGGUGCAAGCGUUAAUCGGAAUUACUGGGCGUAAAGCGUGCGCAGGCGGUCCGCUAAGACAGAUGUGAAAUCCCCGGGCUUAACCUGGGAACUGCAUUUGUGACUGG